This 441-nucleotide ribosomal RNA is filed under the name uncultured bacterium. Its description in RNAcentral is "bacterial SSU rRNA". It matches the Rfam family "Bacterial small subunit ribosomal RNA", at positions 338 to 795 of the family's 1533-position model. The record is from RNAcentral.
CCUACGGGUGGCUGCAGUGGGGAAUAUUGCACAAUGGGCGCAAGCCUGAUGCAGCGACGCCGCGUGAGCGAUGAAGGCCUUCGGGUCGUAAAGCUCUGUCCUAAGGGAAGAAUAAUGACGGUACCUUAGGAGGAAGCCCCGGCUAACUACGUGCCAGCAGCCGCGGUAAUACGUAGGGGGCGAGCGUUAUCCGGAAUCACUGGGCGUAAAGGGUGCGUAGGCGGUAGGGCAAGUCAGAUGUGAAAGCCCGGGGCUCAACCCCGGGAUUGCAUUUGAAACUGUCUUACUAGAGUGCAGGAGAGGAAAGCGGAACUCCUAGUGUAGCGGUGAAAUGCGUAGAUAUUAGGAAGAACACCAGUGGCGAAGGCGGCUUUCUGGACUGUAACUGACGCUGAGGCACGAAAGCGUGGGGAGCGAACAGGAUUAGAUACCCGUGUAGUC